Cavia porcellus (domestic guinea pig) is the source of this 488-nucleotide long non-coding RNA. RefSeq lists it as uncharacterized. The record is from RefSeq and is a predicted model, not a curated record. The transcript has 2 exons. NCBI's taxonomy places the organism in Eukaryota, Metazoa, Chordata, Mammalia, Rodentia, Caviidae.
CUGCAUGCAAUUGCACCCACGUAUGCCUGGGUAGUGCCAGCACAUUCUUUCACUGUUGCUUCUCUGUCUUUAGUAGCAAUUCAAGACCAGGAACUUCUAACCUCAUUUCAGAUCUUCACUGCAUCAAGAAUCCAAAUACAAGUCCCAGAAGUCCAGCAGCCACCGUAUGUAUGUGAGAAAGAAAGCUUCAGACUCUACUAAAGAGGGCAGAAUCAUCAUCACUAUUAGCUUCCUGAAACUUCCACCCCACCUGGGCUGCCUGUCCUUGCAUUUACUUUUUCUGUAUAAGAAAGAUAAACUGCUACUUGGUUGAUAGCAACAGAAAUGUGUUUCCAUCACAUGUAGCCUAGUACAAAUGUAAAUAAUGUAUGUGCUUUAAAAACACUUAAAAAACUCAUAGCUGGUGUUAGUCAUUUCACAAUGCAUGGAUACUUCAAAAUAUUAUAUUGUACAUGUGACAAUAAACAUGGUUAUUUUUCAAUUUAAAA